Molecule: non-coding RNA, 72 nt
Organism: Phrynosoma platyrhinos (Desert horned lizard)
Lineage: Eukaryota; Metazoa; Chordata; Lepidosauria; Squamata; Phrynosomatidae
Source: the annotation of a GenBank genome assembly
GCCAGCGUGGUGUAGUGGUUUGGGUGUUGUACUACAGCGCUGGAGGCCAGCGUUCGAAUCCCUGCUCAGCCA